This 750-nucleotide ribosomal RNA is filed under the name uncultured bacterium. RNAcentral describes it as "bacterial SSU rRNA". It matches the Rfam family "Bacterial small subunit ribosomal RNA", at positions 9 to 746 of the family's 1533-position model. The record is from RNAcentral.
GAGUUUGAUCCUGGCUCAGAACGAACGCUGGCGGCGUGCUUAACACAUGCAAGUCAGGGAGAAAGUCUCUUCGGGGAUGAUUAAACCGGCGCACGGGUGAGUAACACGUGAGUGACCUGCCUUUUAGACUGGAACAACUUACCGAAAGGUGAGCUAAUGCCGGAUGAGUUAUAUAAGUGCAUGUUUAUAUAGGAAAAGUUGGGGAGACCUGACGCUGAAAGAUGGACUCGCGUCCCAUUAGCUAGUUGGUAGGGUAAUGGCCUACCAAGGCGACGAUGGGUAGCCGGCCUGAGAGGGUGGCCGGCCACACUGGGACUGAGACACGGCCCAGACUCCUACGGGAGGCAGCAGUGGGGAAUUUUGCGCAAUGCUCGUAAGAGUGACGCAGCGACGCCGCGUGAAUGACGAAGGCCUUCGGGUCGUAAAGUUCUUUCGACAGGGAAGAAAAUGCCUAUAAGUAACUGUGUAUGUAUUGACGGUACCUGUAUAAGCAGCCCCGGCUAACUCCGUGCCAGCAGCCGCGGUAAUACGGAGGGGGCGAGCGUUGUUCGGAGUGACUGGGCGUAAAGAGCACGUAGGCGGUGUUGUAAGUCAUUAGUCAAAGACUAGAGCUCAACUUUAGUAAGGCUAGUGAUACUAUAAUACUAGAGUAUCAGAGAGGAUUGCAGAAUUCCUGGUGUAGCGGUGAAAUGCGUAGAUAUCAGGAGGAAUACCGUUAGCGAAGGCGGCAAUCUGGCUGGAAACUGACGC